UGACAUUUUGGUAUCUUUCAUCUGACCAUCCAUAUCAAAUGUUCCCAUUCAAACAUUACCCAGCACCAUGGUUUAUGAUUAAAAGAAUUGGUCCUUAGGUCUAGUGGCACUUUGAAUCUUUCGUGCCGUACUACUGUAUCAAUAUCAAGAGGAUUUUAUGCAAAAUUGGGAUAGUCUGUGAUCAAAACUGAAUAAAGGACAAGCAGCCUGCCUUGUGAGUUUUGGAAAGGUUACUUCUUAACCAUCUUUUACCCCCUACCUAGAAACUCUAGCAAUAGUUACUUACUUGAAAAGCGGUACCCAGAUGCUUUAAGUAAACUCACGUUAACCAUUAUGAUUUUUAUCUUUAGGGUUUGUGUAAGUCUCUAAAUCAGCUUCCAGUUGUCUGUCAUCACCUUCACCCGCAUUUUAUUUGGUGUUUGUCUGAAUAAAGGAAAGAGGAAAGCAAAUCUGAUUUGUACUGUCUGUACUAGAUUUGGGGAUUUGUUGAUAAAUUUAUUUUGGGGUAACAUUAAAAAAAAAAGCCUUGUUCCUUAGGCUGAAG
This 544-nucleotide long non-coding RNA is filed under the name Bos taurus (domestic cattle). Its description in RNAcentral is "long non-coding RNA NONBTAT009709". The record is from RNAcentral. Lineage: Eukaryota; Metazoa; Chordata; Mammalia; Artiodactyla; Bovidae.